CUUGCUGAGCAUGCUCCAGCCGCGCAGGUGCGUGGAGCCAAGGUCCCCGGCGAGGGUCUGGAGGGGCUGCUUGCUUCAGGCAGUAGCCUGGUGGGAUCCAUGGCAUCGGCCUGUUUCCAAGGGCCAAUCCACACAAAUGCGUAUGUUCCCCCUGAAGGCAGCGCCGAGGGACCUGGGAGCCUUGCGAGGCCUGACUGCCGCGCCCUGACCAUGGUAUCCUCAACGAGCGGCACCUGGGAGCCUUGCUGGCUGCAGAAACCCGGGCCUUCCGAACAGUUCCAGAAUUUCUCACCACCACCACCGCUGGAGAGAAUGGUGGACUUUGCUGGACAGACGGCUCGUGCAGUGUGCGUGGCUGAUGGACACAGGGCUGUUGAGAGCACAUUACCUGCAUAGGACACCGGCGCUCUGUGCUGGCUCCCUGGCGCAUGGGCGUCAGCCCCAUAGAAGCCGUGUCUGGAAUUCCUGCUGGACGUCUAGUGCUUGGAGAGCCCGAGGACCUAGCUGUGCACCUAGGUCACUCCAAAUAAGGUGGUUAUCGUGUCAUUCUGAAGCUUUUGCACAAGUGCUCCCUCCUCAAGGGGACUCAGGUGAGGACAGACCCAGACUCCAGGAUACGGAUCUCCAAUGAUUGGAGACCGUUGACCUGCGUGCGGAUUCACAGAGCUCUGAGGGAGAGCCUGACGGCUUCAGGAAACCAUGACAAAGAGCAAGAGCGACUACACUUCCUUACCUGGGCCUAAUGCGUCCAGAGUCAGCAGCUCUGAGUAUUCUUCUUGGCCACGUAUUUGCAGAAGUCCAUGGAGAAUCUGUUCUGCUUGUAACGGACACAGUGGGCAACACGGACGACGUUACCAAGGCUUUGACUAGAAUGAUCUGCAUCAACUCAGAACUGAGGUGGACUUUACGGAGCCAGUAAAGCCCCUGGGAAAUGUCAGCCUGAUGCCUUGCUUACAGAGUCCCAGGGCCUUACCAGGGGAUCAGUGGGGAUGGGUAGGGUGGAGGGACUGGGAGCAGAUUCAUCCAACCAGGGCACAGAAAACAAGCCACGGUGUAAAGCUAGAUUAGAAGGGAAUGAUCCUAGAGCACCUGCCCAAUGGUGGGGGACCUGCUGUAAUGCUCUCUGGAGUCAGAGGUGCUGGCCCUCACCAUGGUUUCCAUUCUCCCUUCACCUUGCUAAUGCAGAUGGGGGGGGGGGGCGCUGGGCUUCCUUGCCAGCCUGCUGCCUUAGCAAGCCCUGGGCCCCUAGCUGACCCCAGCCAAGCCAGCAAGGCAACCCCAGGCAGCACACAGCAGACACUCCCCAAUACAGCUCCAGCUGUCUCUCCAGGGUGACACGGGCACAAAGCACCCUGGGAGCUGCCUGUACCUGUCUCCACUCCACACAACUUUCCAGGAAACCCCCUAUGUGGAGUACCCCAGGACAUCCGGGUCCACACCCGCUUUGGCUCGUGCCAUCCAUCCCAUCAUGAAAGCCCCUGUGCAGCACCUUGGGUCCCCAUGCAGCCCAUGGCACUUCAGCUCCAGGCGUCCUGCUAGGGUGCCCCCUGCACUGAAUGUACUGGGACUUCCUGGGCUGUAGCAACCUUACCUCUACCUGUUGACAGCAGAGCACCUUCUGCAUGGAGCACCCAGGGAUCCCCUGGCCCACUCCCACUUCAGCUCCAGCUGUCCCAGCAGGGUGGCCCUGGGUUGGAGUGCACUGAGACCCACAGCCUCUACCCACCAUGGUCCCAGCCAGCUAGCCAGCCAAAGCCACCAGGCACAGGCAGUCCACACAGGGAAUGUUCCUAUAUAAGACCAUUCCUUCAAGAUAAGGAGAUACAGCUGUUCCACCUACUUUACAGAAACACAAAAUGAGGAGACAGGAAUAUGCUCCCAAUGAAAGAACAAGACAAAGCUUCAGAAAAACCACCAUGUGAAACAGAGAUAAGCAAUCUACCCGAUAAAGACUUCAAAGUAGAGGUCAUAAGGUGCUCACUGGACUUGAGAGAACUAGAUGAGCUCAGUGAGAAUUUCCAGAGAGAGAGCAAAUAUAAGAAAGAAUCAGAGUUGAAUACAGUAACUGCAAUGAAGAGUACAUGUGAGGGAAUCAACAGAUUAGAGGAUACAGAAGGAUCAAUAAUCUGGAAGACAGGGUCAUGGAAAGCACUCUGAGCAGCAGAGAGGGAAGGAAGGAAGAUGUGCAUAAAUAAAAAGAUAGGUUAAGAAAGGUCUGGGACAACAUCAAAUAUACCAACAUUCAUAUUAUAAGGGUCCCAGAAGAAGAGGAGAAAGGGGCAGAAAAGUUACUUGAAAAGAUAAUAGCCAAAAACUUCCCUAACCUGGGAAAAGAGACAGAGAUCCAAGAUCAAGAAGCAGAGAGAGCCCCAAAGAAGAUGAACCCUAGGAAGUCCAACCAAGACAGAUAAUAAUCCAGAUGUCAAAGAUUAAAGAUAAUGACAAUCUUAAAAGCAGCAGAAGGAAAACAACUAGUUGCCCACAAGGGAAACCCCAAAAGGCAAUCAGCCAGUUUUUCAGCAGAAACUUUGAAUAGAUCACCACUCCCUCUUGCCUGCAAAGUGCUGAAGGGAAAAACUUAUAACCAAGUAUACUAUAUCACUUAGAACUGAAGAAAAGAGAAAGCAUAUCCCAGACAAGCAAAAGUUGAAGGAGUUCAUCACCACUGAACUAGAGUUACAAGAAAUGUCAACAGGACUUCCUGAAGUAGCAAAGGAAAGGCUAUAAUUAGAAGGAAAUUAUGAAAGGCAAAUUGUCAGGAAAAGCAAACAUACACUAAAGGCAGUGAAUCAAGCACUUAUAAAGCUAGUAUGAAAGUUAAAAGAUAAAGAACUCACAAAAUCAAAGAUGUGAAACAUGACAUCAUAGACAUAUAACAUGAAAGGGGGAACAAAAAUGUAGGGCUCUCAGAAUGUGUUUGAACUUAAGCGACCACCAGCUUUAUAUAGAUUGCUGUAUAGUUAGGAUGUUAUAUAUGAACUUCAUGGUAGCCACAAACCAAAAACCUGUAACUGAUACACAAAAAAUGAACGGAAAGGUCCAAGCAUAACACUAAACAAAGUCAUCAAUUGUAAAGGACGAGAACAAGAAGAAAGGAAAAGAACCACAAACCCAACCAGAGGGAAUUUAACAAGAUGGCAAUAAGCACAUACGUAUCACUAAUUACCUUAAAUGCAAAUGGCAUAAAUACUCCAAAAAAGAGAGGGUGACUGAAUGGAUUAAAAAACAAGACCCAUCCAUGUGCUGUUUACAAGAGACUCACUUCAGACCUAAAGACACAUGCAGACUGAAAGUAAAAGGAUGGAAAGAGAUCUAUGCAAAGAGAAGCGCGCGCACACACACACACACACAAAUCCAGCGUAGCAAUCCUUCUGUCAGAAAAAAAAGACUUAAAAUCUGUAACCAGAGACUUAGAAAGGCAUUACCUAGUGAUAAAGGGAUCAAUCCAACAAGAGAAUAGGACAGUUUCUAAGUUAUCUGUGCACCCGGCACAGAAACACCCAAGUACACAAGUUAUUCACUGAUAUUAGCAGGCAUAAAGGGAGAUGUCCACGGUGAUACGGUAGCAGGAGAGGAUUGUAACACCCCACUUACCUCUGUGGACAGAUCAGCCAGACAGGAAGAUGCAUUGACCUUGACAACACACGAGUCCAGAUGGACAUAACAGAUACACACAGAACAAUCUGUCCCAGACAGCAGAAUACACAUUCAUCUCAAGUGCAUGUGGAGCGUUCUCUGGAGUUGAUCACAGGUUGGGCCACAAACCAAGUCUCAGCAAACUGAAGACUGAAAUCUCAUCAAGCAUCUUUUUAAACCACAUGAAACUAGAAAUUGGUGACAAGAAAAAAAUGGAAAAAACACAUGUGGAGGCUAAACACAUGCUACUAAAUAACAAAUGUAUCUUCAAAGAAUAAACUUAAAUACCUGGAGACAAAUGAAAAUGCAAACACAACAUCGUAAAAUCUUUGGGAAGCAGCAGAAGUUGUAAGAGGGAAGUGUGUAGUGAUACCAGCCUCCCUCUAGAAACAAGAAAAAUCUCAAAUAAUCUAACCUCAUGCCUCAAGGAACUAGAAGAACAACAACAAACAAGGCCCAAAGUUGGCAGAAGGGAGGAAAUAGUAAAGAUCAGAGUGAAAAGAAAUUAAAUAGAGACUAAAAAACCAGAAAAGAUAAAUAAAAUGAAGAGCUGGUUCUUUGAAAAGAAACAAAAUUGAUAAACAUUUAGCUAGACUCAUUAUGAAAAAAAAUUCAAAUAAAAUUAGAAAUAAGAGAAAUAACAGCACAGAAACACAAAAGAUUAUGAGAGACUGUCAUGAAAAAUUACACACCAACAAACUAGAUAACCCAGAAGAAAUAGAUAAAUUGCUAGAAACAUCCCAUCUUCCAAAACUGAAUCAGGAAGAAUUAGCAAAUCUGAACAGACCAAUUACUAGUAACAAAAUUGAAUCAGUAACCAAAAAAACCAAAAAAACCUCCCAACAAACAAAAGUCCAGGACCAGAUGGUUUCACAGGUGAGUUUUACCAAACCUUGAAACAAGAGUUAAGAACUAUUCUUCUCAAACCAAUUCAAAAGCAGAAAAAGAAGGAAAACUUUCAGAUUCAUUCUAUGAGGCCAGCAUUACCAUUUUACCAAAACCAGAAAAAGACACUACAAAAAAGGAGAACUACAGGCCAGUAUCCCUGAUGAACAUAGAUGCAAAAAUACCCCUCAACAAACUAUUUGCAAACCAAGUUCAACAAUACAUUAGAAGGAUUAUUCACCAGAGUGAAGUGGGAUUCAUUCCAGAGAUGAAAGAUGGUUCAAUGCUGGAAUCAUGGUGACACAUCACAUUAACAAAAUGAAGGAUAAAAACCAUGUGUUCAUCUCAACAGAUGCAGAAAAAGCAUUUGACAACAUCUGUUCAUAAUAAAACCCUCAACAAAGUGGCAAUGGAGGAAACAUACCUCAAAUGAUAAAGGCCAUAUUGCAGCAACCCUGAGCGCCCAUCAGAGUCAACGGUGAAAAACCGAGAAUUUUCCUCUAAGAUCAGGGACAAGACAAGGAUGCCCACUGGUGCCACUUUUGUUCACCAUGGUACUGGAAGACCUAGCCCUGGUAACCAGACAAGAAAAAGAGAUAAAAGGCAUCUAGAUUGGUAAGGAAGAGGUAAAACUGUCCCUAUUUGCAAACAGCAUGAUAUUACAAGUAGAAAACCUUGAAGACUCCACCAAGAAUCUAUUACAACCAAUAAAUGAAGUCAGGAAAAUCAUAGGAUACUAAGUUAAUAUACAGAAGUGUGUUGUUUCUAUACACUGAUAUCAAAGUAGCAGAAAGAGAAAUUAAGAAAACAAUCCCAUUUGUGAUUGUAUCCAAAGGAAUAAAAUACCUAGGAAUAAAUUUAACCAGGGAAAUGAAACACUUGUACUCUGAAAACUAUAAAAUAUGGAUGAAAGACAUUGAAGACGACACUAACAGAUAGAAAGCUACACUAAGCUCAUGGAAUGGAAGAAUUAAUGUUGUUAAAAUGUCCACACUACUCCAAGGAGUCUCCACAUUCAAUGCAAUCCCUAUGAAAAUAUCUCUAGUAUUUUUCACAGAACGAGAACAAGUAAUCCUAAAAUGUGUAUGGAACCACAAAGACCCUGCACAGCCAAAGCAAUCCCAGAUUUCAAGAUAUAUCAUGAAGCUGUAGUGAUCAAAGCAGUAUGGGGCUGACACAAAAACAGACCUAGAUCAAUGGAGCAGGACAGAGAGCCCAGAAAUACACCCAGGCUUUUAUGGUCAAUUUAUCUAUGACAAAGGAGGCCAGGAUAUGCAGUGGGGAGAAGACAGUCUCUUCGAUACAGGGUGCUGGGAAAAGUGGACAGCCACAUGCAAAAGACUGAAAUGGGACCAUGUGCUUACACCAUCCACAAAAAUGAACUCAAAAUGGAUUAAAGACCCCAGUGUGAGGGCGCCUGGGUGGUUCAGUUGGUUAAGCAACUGCCUUCGGCUCAGGUCAUGAUCCUGGAGUCCCUGUAUCGAGUCCCGCAUCGGGCUCCCUGCUCGGCAGGGAGUCUGCUUCUCCCUCUGACCCUACCCCCUCUCAUGUGCUCGCUCUCAUUCUCUCUCUCUCAAAUAAAUAAAUAAAAUCUUAAAAAAAAAAAAAAAAGACCCAGGUGUGAGCCCUAAAGCCAUAAAACUCCUAAGAAAAAAGAGGUAAAACCUUGCACAUCAGCCUUAGCAACACCCUUCUCAUGUGUAAAAUAAACAAAAGCAAAAUAGACUAUAGAGACUACACCAAACUGGAAAGGUUUGCUCAGUGAAGGAAACCAUCAACAAAAUAAAAAUGAAUGGGAGAAGAUAUUUGCAGAUGACAUAUCCAUAAAGGGUUAGUAUCCAAAUAUACAAAGAACUACAACUACACACACACACACACACACAGAAAUCCCACCAAAUAAUCACCCAAUUUUUAAAAAGGUAAAGGCCCUGAGUAGACACUUUUCCCAAAGAAGACACAGAGAAAUGGCCAACAGCCACAUGAAAAAAACACUCAACAUCACUCAUCAUCAUCAGGAAAACUGAAAUCAAAAGCAUAAUGAGAUAUCACCUCCUACCUCUCAGAAUGGAUAGUGUCAGACAGACAAGAGAUGGCAAGUGUUGGCGGGGAUGCGGAGAAAGGGGAACCCUUGUGCACUGUUGGUGGGAAUGCAAACUGGUGCAACCACUGAGGAACACAGUAUGGAGGUUCCUCAAAAAGUUAAAAAUAGAACUACUGGAUCGUAUGGAAUUUCUGCGAUGGUAUUUACCCAAAGAAAAAGAAAACACUAAUUCAAAAAGAUAUAUGAACCCCUAUGCUCAUUGCAACACUAUUUACAAUAGCCAAGAUAUAAAAGUGACCUACACGUCCAAUGACAGAUGAAUGGAUAAAGAUGUAAUAUAUAUACACAAUGAAAUAGUACUCUGCCAUAAAAAAGAAAGAAAUCUUGCGAUUUGUAACAACACAGAUAGACCUACAGGGCUUUAUGCUAAGUGAAAUAAGUUGGAUAGAGGAAAACAAAACCAUACAGAUUUACUUGUAUAUGGUAUCUAAAACACAAAAGAAAAUAAACCCAAACCCAAAUCAGACUCAUAAAGAGAAUAAACUGUUGCAUGCAGAAGGAAGGGGGUGGGACUAUAUGCCAAAUAGGGGAAGAGGAUUAAGAGGUACAACGUUCCAGUUAUAAAAUAAGUGAGUCGUAGGGAGGAAAGGUACAGCAUAGAGAAUAUAGUCAGUGACAUUGUAAUAAUAGUAUAUGGUGACAGAUGUUAAUGACACUUAUCAUGGUAUUGCAUAUUGUGUAGACUUGUUGAAUCACUAUAUUGUACAACAGAAACUAAAGUAAUAUUGUGUAUCAACUGUACUUCAAAAAUAAAAUUUUCAAUAACUUCAAUCUGUGAUUCCUUAUGAAAAGUUCCAGCAAAACAGAUUUAAAAGAUUCUAUAUGGUCAAUUGCUAUUCU
Molecule: long non-coding RNA, 7462 nt
Organism: Mirounga angustirostris (Northern elephant seal)
Lineage: Eukaryota; Metazoa; Chordata; Mammalia; Carnivora; Phocidae
Exons: 4
Source: RefSeq, a predicted model, not a curated record